This 627-nucleotide ribosomal RNA is filed under the name Triticum aestivum (bread wheat). RNAcentral describes it as "partial small subunit ribosomal RNA". The record is from RNAcentral. Lineage: Eukaryota; Viridiplantae; Streptophyta; Magnoliopsida; Poales; Poaceae.
AUGUCGGCAAGUGUAUGGGCGCUGGCCCCCGAAGAGAUGGUAUACCAUAUGCUAGAGUGGGGAGAGGAGAACCCGAAGGACUGGCUGUUUGCACUCCAUGAAAUAUUAUCUAAGGAGUUUUUUGAUCGCUUGGUGGUCUCACUUUGGGCGAUAUGGGGAGCCAGGAGAAAGGCCAUACAUGAGAACAUCUUUCAAUCACCCCAUUCGGUUAGUAGUUUCAUAUCUACUUACUUGGGGGAGCUGCAGUUGGUAAUUGCCAAGAACCCGGGCGAGACGGUCCAUAUAACCAAGAACCCAAGGAGGUGGAUACCCCCGACUGGGGGCAAUGCUAAGAUAAAUGUUGACGCGGCUGUGUCUAGGCAGGGAUCCGGGUCGAUUGGGGUGAUAUGCAGAGAUCAAACAUGUAUGUUCAUGGGUGCCUCCACUAUUGGUUUCAGACACAUUGUAGAUCCACCGACACUCGAAGCUCUAGCAAUCAGAGAAGCAUUGGCACUGGCGGAUGAUCUAUACUUGCUUCGAAUUGAAGUGGCGUCGGAUUGCAAAGUGGUAGUGGAGGAUUUGCAGAAGGAUAAUUCGGCGAGCUACGGUGCCAUUGUACAUGAAAUAAUAGCCCAUACCUCAUCUUUU